CGAUUUAUCACCUGAUUAAAAUGUUCAUAUCUUCUUUAAUCCAUAAUAUAUAUAUAUAUAUUUUUUUUUUUUUAUCUGAAUAAAGUCAUACUCAAAAUAAAUUUUGAUUAUUAUUAAAAAUAUUAUAGUAUAUUUCUGCUUUAUUUGAAAGGAUGAUGUCUGAUUAAAAGUUUCCAAAGUUUUCUAAAUGAAUUCUGAAUCUAUCAAUGGGUAGAUUACGAUAUUUUCAAUGCAAGUUCGUUUGGAAUUUCUUUGCUGGUCCUAACCGCAAAGUUUCGAUUAAUGAGAAUUAUAAAAAUAUGAACUAUAUCCGUAAGUUUAUGGACGUAAACGUGGUUAAGAAACUUGUCUGUAAUAUCUCUAACAAUAAACACCCUUUUUAUCAAACUGCUAAUUCUAAAUCUUUGUAUGAAAUCGAAUAACGAUCGCCAUUUAAUUUGCAUCUUUCUCCCUUCAGAAUGCUGACGUCACAGAUGAAUUAUUCAUAUUCCAGAAAUCAAAAAAACGCUCCAUAAAUUAAUACGUUUGUUGAUAAUAUUGUCUGCUUUUUACGUAAUUUGUCCAAUGACGGAACUUACGAUUCCUCUGGCCUUAUGCCAAAGCGAUGACGAAAUUCGGCACAACCAACAAACUACUCAAGUUACAAUUCUUUCCAUUAUUAUUAUUAUUAUUCCGUUUGUUUCUAUUAUUUUGUAUACUUAAAGAUCGGAAAUCUGUAAUUCAGUUAGAAUAAAGGGUAUAGGAAAUGAUUUUCGAACGAUGAUUAAUAAGUUUGUGUUAAGAAAUUUCUAGCUGUCGAUGGCUGAAAAACAAUGAGAACGAUAAUUAUGAUAAUUAUUCAAUCGUAAUUUUCCGAAUGAAUGAAGGUUAAGUCAUUUUUAGUACACCGUUCGAAAGUAUGGCAAGCGUAAAAUACGUCAUCAAAACAAUGAGAAAAACACCGUUAACAAAUUUUUCCACUCAUUGUAAACGUAACGAGAUACUCGAAUGGCUAUUCACUUUCUAUAUUUCUUUACUGUACUUCAUUGUCUCUACUCUGGUGUGAAAAUACUUCUACCGCCGGCCAUAGAAAUAAAUAUGAUUAUUCUCGAAAAAUUUCGAAAAUGUAUAUACAA
Molecule: long non-coding RNA, 1115 nt
Filed under: Centruroides sculpturatus (bark scorpion)
Lineage: Eukaryota; Metazoa; Arthropoda; Arachnida; Scorpiones; Buthidae
Description: uncharacterized LOC111618435, transcript variant X1
Source: RNAcentral